Molecule: ribosomal RNA, 285 nt
Filed under: Paenibacillus sp. P32E
Lineage: Bacteria; Bacillati; Bacillota; Bacilli; Caryophanales; Paenibacillaceae
Description: partial 16S ribosomal RNA
Rfam family: Bacterial small subunit ribosomal RNA
Source: RNAcentral
GGUGGAGCCAAUCCCAGCAAAGCCGGUCUCAGUUCGGAUUGCAGGCUGCAACUCGCCUGCAUGAAGUCGGAAUUGCUAGUAAUCGCGGAUCAGCAUGCCGCGGUGAAUACGUUCCCGGGUCUUGUACACACCGCCCGUCACACCACGAGAGUUUACAACACCCGAAGUCGGUGGGGUAACCCGCAAGGGGGCCAGCCGCCGAAGGUGGGGUAGAUGAUUGGGGUGAAGUCGUAACAAGGUAGCCGUAUCGGAAGGUGCGGCUGGAUCACCUCCUUUCUAUGGAGA